CGCGGCCUAUCAGCUUGUUGGUGGGGUGAUGGCCUACCAAGGCGACGACGGGUAGCCGGCCUGAGAGGGCGACCGGCCACACUGGGACUGAGACACGGCCCAGACUCCUACGGGAGGCAGCAGUGGGGAAUAUUGCACAAUGGGCGGAAGCCUGAUGCAGCGACGCCGCGUGAGGGAUGACGGCCUUCGGGUUGUAAACCUCUUUCGACAGGGACGAAGCACAAGUGACGGUACCUGUAGAAGAAGCGCCGGCCAACUACGUGCCAGCAGCCGCGGUAAGACGUAGGGCGCGAGCGUUGUCCGGAUUUAUUGGGCGUAAAGAGCUCGUAGGCGGCUCGUCGCGUCGGCUGUGAAAACCCGAGGCUCAACCUCGGGCCUGCAGUCGAUACGGGCAGACUAGAGUGCUGUAGGGGAGACUGGAAUUCCUGGUGUAGCGGUGAAAUGCGCGGAUAUCAGGAGGAACACCGGUGGCGAAGGCGGGUCUCUGGGCAGUAACUGACGCUGAGGAGCGAAAGCGUGGGGAACAAACAGGAUUAGAUACCCUGGUAGUCCACGCCGUAAACGUUGGGCGCUAGGUGUGGGCUGUCUUCCACGCAGUCCGUGCCGCAGCUAACGCAUUAAGCGCCCCGCCUGGGGAGUACGG
This 643-nucleotide ribosomal RNA is filed under the name uncultured bacterium. RNAcentral's name for it is "bacterial SSU rRNA". It matches the Rfam family "Bacterial small subunit ribosomal RNA", at positions 232 to 885 of the family's 1533-position model. The record is from RNAcentral.